GACGAACGCUGGCGGCGUGCCUAAUACAUGCAAGUUGAGCGAUGAAGCUUGGUGCUUGCACCAAUUUGAAGAGCAGCGAACGGGUGAGUAACGCGUGGGGAAUCUGCCUUUGAGCGGGGGACAACAUUUGGAAACGAAUGCUAAUACCGCAUAACAACUUUAAACAUAAGUUUUAAGUUUGAAAGAUGCAAUUGCAUCACUCAAAGAUGAUCCCGCGUUGUAUUAGCUAGUUGGUGAGGUAAAGGCUCACCAAGGCGAUGAUACAUAGCCGACCUGAGAGGGUGAUCGGCCACAUUGGGACUGAGACACGGCCCAAACUCCUACGGGAGGCAGCAGUAGGGAAUCUUCGGCAAUGGACGAAAGUCUGACCGAGCAACGCCGCGUGAGUGAAGAAGGUUUUCGGAUCGUAAAACUCUGUUGGUAGAGAAGAACGUUGGUGAGAGUGGAAAGCUCAUCAAGUGACGGUAACUACACAGAAAGGGGCGGCUAACUACGUG
This 497-nucleotide ribosomal RNA is filed under the name uncultured bacterium. RNAcentral's name for it is "partial 16S ribosomal RNA". It matches the Rfam family "Bacterial small subunit ribosomal RNA", at positions 28 to 507 of the family's 1533-position model. The record is from RNAcentral.